RNAcentral lists this ribosomal RNA (467 nucleotides) under uncultured bacterium. Its description in RNAcentral is "partial 16S ribosomal RNA". It matches the Rfam family "Bacterial small subunit ribosomal RNA", at positions 28 to 507 of the family's 1533-position model. The record is from RNAcentral.
GACGAACGCUGGCGGCGUGCUUAACACAUGCAAGUCGAACGGAAAGGCCUCUUUCGGGGGGUACUCGAGUGGCGAACGGGUGAGUAACACGUGAGUAACCUGCCCUUGACUUUGGGAUAACUUCAGGAAACUGGGGCUAAUACCGGAUAGGAGCUCCUGCUGCAUGGUGGGGGUUGGAAAGUUUCGGCGGUUGGGGAUGGACUCGCGGCUUAUCAGCUUGUUGGUGGGGUAGUGGCUUACCAAGGCUUUGACGGGUAGCCGGCCUGAGAGGGUGACCGGCGACAUUGGGACUGAGAUACGGCCCAGGCUCCUACGGGAGGCAGCAGUGGGGAAUAUUGCACAAUGGGUGGAAGCCUGAUGCAGCAGCGCCGUGUGCGGGAUGACGGCCUUCGGGUUGUAAACCGCUUUCGCUCAUGACGAAGCUUUGUGUGACGGUAGUGGGUAAAGAAGCACCGGCUAACUACGUG